GAUGAACGCUGGCGGCGUGCCUAAUACAUGCAAGUCGAGCGAACAGACGAGGAGCUUGCUCCUCUGACGUUAGCGGCGGACGGGUGAGUAACACGUGGAUAACCUACCUAUAAGACUGGGAUAACUUCGGGAAACCGGAGCUAAUACCGGAUAAUAUAUUGAACCGCAUGGUUCAAUAGUGAAAGACGGUUUUGCUGUCACUUAUAGAUGGAUCCGCGCCGCAUUAGCUAGUUGGUAAGGUAUCGGCUUACCAAGGCAACGAUGCGUAGCCGACCUGAGAGGGUGAUCGGCCACACUGGAACUGAGACGCGGUCCAGACUCCUACGGGAGGCAGCAGUAGGGAAUUUUCCGCAAUGGGCGAAAGCCUGACGGAGCAACGCCGCGUGAGUGAUGAAGGUCUUCGGAUCGUAAAACUCUGUUAUUAGGGAAGAACAAAUGUGUAAGUAACUAUGCACGUCUUGACGGUACCUAAUCAGAAAGCCACGGCUAACUACGUG
Molecule: ribosomal RNA, 497 nt
Filed under: uncultured bacterium
Lineage: Bacteria
Description: partial 16S ribosomal RNA
Rfam family: Bacterial small subunit ribosomal RNA
Source: RNAcentral